RNAcentral lists this transfer RNA (75 nucleotides) under Sulfolobus sp. RNAcentral describes it as "tRNA-Val". It matches the Rfam family "tRNA". Rfam says of the family: Transfer RNA (tRNA) molecules are approximately 80 nucleotides in length. Their secondary structure includes four short double-helical elements and three loops (D, anti-codon, and T loops). Lineage: Archaea; Thermoproteati; Thermoproteota; Thermoprotei; Sulfolobales; Sulfolobaceae. RNAcentral also lists the same sequence under 5 other names. The record is from RNAcentral.
GGGCCCGUCGUCUAGCCUGGUUAGGACGCCGCCCUGACGCGGCGGAGGUCCUGGGUUCAAGUCCCAGCGGGCCCA